AUUGAACGCUGGCGGCAGGCUUAACACAUGCAAGUCGAACGAGUGGCGGACGGGUGAGUAAUGCUUGGGCAUCUAGCUUAUGGCGGGGGAUAACUACGGGAACCUGUAGCUAAUACCGCGUACCAUAGGUUGAGCCCAAGUGGGAUUAGGUAGUUGGUGAGGUAAAGGCUCACCAAGCCGACGAUCUCUAGCUGGUCUGAGAGGAUGACCGGCCACACGGGGACUGAGACACGGCCCAGACUCCUACGGGAGGCAGCAGUGGGGAAUAUUGCGCAAUGGGGGCAACCUGACGCAGCCAUGCCGCGUGAAUGAAGAAGGCCUUCGGGUUGUAAAGUUCUUUCGGUAGCGAGGCGUUAACUACAGAGGAAGCAACGGCUAACUCCGUGCCAGCAGCCGCGGUAAUUC
This 405-nucleotide ribosomal RNA is filed under the name uncultured bacterium. RNAcentral's name for it is "partial 16S ribosomal RNA". It matches the Rfam family "Bacterial small subunit ribosomal RNA", at positions 30 to 526 of the family's 1533-position model. The record is from RNAcentral.